Molecule: ribosomal RNA, 402 nt
Filed under: uncultured bacterium
Lineage: Bacteria
Description: bacterial SSU rRNA
Rfam family: Bacterial small subunit ribosomal RNA
Source: RNAcentral
UGGGGAAUAUUGCACAAUGGGGGAAACCCUGACGCAGCGACGCCGCGUGAGGGAAGACGGUUUUCGGAUUGUAAACCUCUGUCUCUGGUGAAGAUAAUGACGGUAACCAGAGAGGAAGCCACGGCUAACUACGUGCCAGCAGCCGCGGUAAUACGUAGGUGGCAAGUGUUGUCCGGAUUUACUGGGUGUAAAGGGAGCGUAGACGGUAUGGUAAGUCUGAAGUGAAAACCCACGGCUCAACUGUGGGACUGCUUUGGAAACUAUCAAACUAGAGUGUCGGAGAGGGUGGCGGAAUUCCAGGUGUAGGAGUGAAAUCCGUAGAUAUCUGGAGGAACACCGGUGGCGAAGGCGGCCACCUGGACGAUAACUGACGCUGAGGUGCGAAAGCGUGGGUAGCAAACA